CAUUACCGAGUGCGGGCCCUCUGGGUCCAACCUCCCAUCCGUGUCUAUCUGUACCCUGUUGCUUCGGCGUGGCCACGGCCCGCCGAAGACUAACAUUUGAACACUGUCUGAAGUUUGCAGUCUGAGUUUUUAGUUAAACAAUAAUUAAAACUUUCAACAACGGAUCUCUUGGUUCCGGCAUCGAUGAAGAACGCAGCGAAAUGCGAUAAUUAAUGUGAAUUGCAGAAUUCAGUGAAUCAUCGAGUCUUUGAACGCACAUUGCGCCCCCUGGUAUUCCGGGGGGCAUGCCUGUCCGAGCGUCAUUGCUGCCCUCAAGCACGGCUUGUGUGUUGGGCUUCCGUCCCUGGUAACGGGGACGGGCCCAAAAGGCAGUGGCGGCACCAUGUCUGGUCCUCGAGCGUAUGGGGCUUUGUCACCCGCUCCCGUAGGUCCAGCUGGCAGCUAGCCUCGCAACCAAUCUUUUUAACCAGGUUGACCUCGGAUCAGGUAGGGAUACCCGCUGAACUUAAGCAUAUC
This 516-nucleotide ribosomal RNA is filed under the name Aspergillus sp. MAB-2010a. RNAcentral describes it as "eukaryotic LSU rRNA". The stretch from base 149 to 302 matches the Rfam family "5.8S ribosomal RNA". Lineage: Eukaryota; Fungi; Ascomycota; Eurotiomycetes; Eurotiales; Aspergillaceae. The record is from RNAcentral.